GGAGGCAGCAGUGAGGAAUAUUGGACAAUGGAGGUAACUCUGAUCCAGCCAUGCCGCGUGCAGGAAGACUGCCCUAUGGGUUGUAAACUGCUUUUAUAGAGGAAGAAACCUCCCUACGUGUAGGGAGCUGACGGUACUCUACGAAUAAGGAUCGGCUAACUCCGUGCCAGCAGCCGCGGUAAUACGGAGGAUCCAAGCGUUAUCCGGAAUCAUUGGGUUUAAAGGGUCCGUAGGCGGGCAGUUAAGUCAGUGGUGAAAGUCUUCCGCUCAACGGGAGAAUUGCCAUUGAUACUGAUUGUCUUGAGUCAUUAUGAAGUGGUUAGAAUGAGUAGUGUAGCGGUGAAAUGCAUAGAUAUUACUCAGAAUACCGAUUGCGAAGGCAGAUCACUAAUAAUGUACUGACGCUGAUGGACGAAAGCGUAGGUAGCGAACAGGAUUAGAUACCCUGGUAGUCUACGCCGUAAACGAUGGUUACUAGCUGUUUGGACGAUUGAGUCUGAGUGGCUAAGCGAAAGUGAUAAGUAACCCACCUGGGGAGUACGUUCGCAAGAAUGAAACUCAAAGGAAUUGACGGGGGCCCGCACAAGCGGUGGAGCAUGUGGUUUAAUUCGAUGAUACGCGAGGAACCUUACCAGGGCUUAAAUGCAGUCUGACGUAUCUGAAA
This 664-nucleotide ribosomal RNA is filed under the name Mesonia sp. RNAcentral's name for it is "bacterial SSU rRNA". It matches the Rfam family "Bacterial small subunit ribosomal RNA", at positions 344 to 1006 of the family's 1533-position model. Lineage: Bacteria; Pseudomonadati; Bacteroidota; Flavobacteriia; Flavobacteriales; Flavobacteriaceae. The record is from RNAcentral.